RNAcentral lists this RNase P RNA (185 nucleotides) under Synergistaceae bacterium. RNAcentral's name for it is "partial RNase P RNA component class A". It matches the Rfam family "Bacterial RNase P class A", at positions 142 to 367 of the family's 367-position model. From Rfam's summary of the family: Ribonuclease P (RNase P) is a ubiquitous endoribonuclease, found in archaea, bacteria and eukarya as well as chloroplasts and mitochondria. Its best characterised activity is the generation of mature 5'-ends of tRNAs by cleaving the 5'-leader elements of precursor-tRNAs. Cellular RNase Ps are ribonucleoproteins. Lineage: Bacteria; Thermotogati; Synergistota; Synergistia; Synergistales; Synergistaceae. The record is from RNAcentral.
CGACCGGCAAGGGUGAAAAGGCGAGGUAAGAGCUCACCGGACGCGCGGCGACGCGCGUGCCUGGCAAACCCCACCCGGAGCAAGAUCGAAUAGGGGAGGAUGAAGCGGCCCGCCGACUCCCGGGUACGAUCGCGCAGAUAAAUGACUGGACACGACAGAACCCGGCUUACGAAACUCUUCCCCUU